This 1521-nucleotide long non-coding RNA is filed under the name Salvia miltiorrhiza (redroot sage). RNAcentral's name for it is "long non-coding RNA (SMIL_LNC012578)". Lineage: Eukaryota; Viridiplantae; Streptophyta; Magnoliopsida; Lamiales; Lamiaceae. The record is from RNAcentral.
UCCUUGGCUUCAGGGACCAUUCAUGCCCAGCUGCAUCAUGUGGUUGUACACUUGUACUAUUUUUUUUUUUUGUAGCCAAACACUUGUGCUAUUAUUGAUGCCUAUAUUGGCAGUUACUUUGCCACCCUAUUAGCAUCCCAUAUUUUGCCUUCAUAUUACACACACAUAUGCAUAUAUUAUACUAAAAUUAAGGUGUAAAUUAUGUAUUCCACAUACUGAUACUUCAUCCGUCCCUAAAAAGUUUACCCUAAUUUCUUUUUUCGAGCGUCCCUCAAAAAUUUGUCUCAAUCUUCUUAUUUUCUAUUUUUGUACAUGAUCCCACCAUCCAUGCACUUUACAAUUACAAUUAUUUAAACACUAUUUUUAUACUACAUGAUUUCACUAUCAAAUAAUUUUUUACCAGCUUUUAUCAAAUAACUCUUGGAGUAAACUUUUAAGGGACGAAGGAAGUGAUUUUUAAUUAAGAGAAAUUGGAAACCCCCUUUAUGAAUAUCGAUGAAAAUGAAAUGAAAGAAAGUUUUGAGCUUUGUUUUUGACGUGGAACUUGUUGUGUCAAGGAGGGAAAAAGAAAGGAUUGGUGUUGGGGGCUGUCGUGCAUGGAGUCGAAGAUGAGAGGACGACGAUGGCGAGGCGACAGCGACGGCUUUGCUAAUGUUCGCUGGAGUUCAGUAAAGGGGAGGGUCAGCUGCGGCUUCGCUGUGUUGACCGGGCCUGGGAGGGAGAAUGGAUGCGUGAGAUUAGGGAGCUAGAGCUUGGCGGCAAUUUGAAUGAUUGGAUUUGAGGCAUCUAGGGUUUGGGGAAAAAGGGUGGCGACGCUACUGUUUGAAAUACGAGCGGCGACGACUAGGACUGGGUAAUAAAGAAAGAGAGAGGGGGAAGGGAGGCACGACUGGUGACUGUGCGGUCGCCAGAGUCCACGGAAGGGGAGCUAACGGUAGUUACCUGGGAGUGUGCGUGUUCUAUUUUUUUUAAGGAGAAAAGUUGAGAGAUGAGUGAGAGGUGAGAGAGAUGGCGAGAGAUGUCAGUGGUGGUGCCUAGAGGGGCGAUCACGCUGGAGCUGAGAAAGAGCAGCGAUGCCUGCCGCCAAUGGUGCUUGUGAGGAAAAAGAGAAGGGUGCAUCUCUGUGUGUGUAUGUUCUAUGUGAAAGAGAGAGAGAGAGUAGGUAUAUUAAUAAAUUAUUAAAUAAAUUAUUAAUGAAGUCUUAAUUAUUGCCUAAUAGACCAUGAAUUUUGGGACAGUGCAAAUUGGAAAACAGGCCAUGAUGGGUGGAGUAAUUUAUAGGGUUAUUGGCGUCUAAAUACACGAAUUUGGGCUCAUUUUAUUUUUUGCCCACGAAAUAUAUUGUUAGAAAAUAAUGAUCCAAAAUAAUUCUUUUAUAAUUAACUAGCUAGCUUAAUUAAUUUAAUUGGGUCAUUUUCGUGGGAAAAAAAAUUAAAAUAUUGUUAUAUUUCGUGGGGAAAAAAUAAAAUGAGCUAAAAUUCGUGUAUUUUUUGACAAUUAUCAAAGUUCGUGUGAAAAAAC